UACAGAGGGUGCGAGCGUUACUCGGAAUUACUGGGCGUAAAGCGCGCGUAGGCGGCUUUGCAAGUCGGGUGUGAAAUCCCCAGGCUUAACCUGGGAACUGCAUUCGAGACUGCAUUGCUAGAGUAUGGGAGAGGGAAGUGGAAUUUCCGGUGUAGCGGUGAAAUUCGUAGAUAUUCGGAAGAACACCAGUGGCGAAGGCGGCUCACUGGACCGGCAUUGACGCUGAGGUGCGAAAGCGUGGGGAGCAAACAGG
Molecule: ribosomal RNA, 253 nt
Filed under: uncultured bacterium
Lineage: Bacteria
Description: partial 16S ribosomal RNA
Rfam family: Bacterial small subunit ribosomal RNA
Source: RNAcentral